CUCCGGCUCUUCUGACGGAGAGAGAGAACUAGCUAGCGGUUCCAGAGGAGACAGAUCCGAGUUUGAAAGAGAGAAGCUAGAUCGAUGGCAUCCAUGUUCGCAGGAGAACUUGUGGAGGCCUACGUGCUGAAGAACGCUUGCAGGGAGAAGAUGAAGACGGCCCAGGCAGACGCCGUUGGAGACGGCGCAGAGGCGAAGAAGGCCGGCAGCGGAAACGGGGCGGCAGAAGCAGAACAGAAGGAGCCUGACACCAGCAAGGGAAAGGGGCGAGGCUUCUUUGGGCUGCUGAAGAAGAUUUCUAUGCUCCGGGUUGCUCUGUCAUGGGCAUGGCUGCGUUAACGAGUACAUGGUUGGAUCCAAUUUGAAACCAAAAUGUGCCCACGUAUCUUCUACAUCGGGAGGAUCAAGCGCCGGCCGGCAGAUCUGCUCGAUCCUCGAUAUAGACGAAGGUCCCUGGAAAUUGUAUGUUGCUCUAUUGGACCAAGGGUCAUGCAAAAUUGACUAAUAUGCCCUCCUAAAUCAACGGUUAGAUUUAUUCGGUACUCCGGGUUCUCUUUAUGGAGUACCAGGGUACUGUAAAAAUAAUCUCUUCUUGAACUUAUAUAGCAACUGGAACUUGGUAGACACUUGCGCAUGGAUCGAUCGCUAGCUCUUGUAUAUCUGGUUCAGGCCUAAUUCGGUUGCACCAUUUCCGGCCGGUAAUGGAGUGGAUUGGGGAGAAAUUAAACUAAAUAUGAUCCAUUCCCCGUUGAUCCCCCCGGGAAUGGUAGAUCUUAGUUGUGUUCUUUCCCCUGUGUUUUUCCCCCUCUUCUUGCACACGGAGAACUAGUGAAAGUGUGCAAGUGUCACCAUUCUGAUGAUGUAUCAGUUUGUCCAUUGUUGUAAUUGGAUAAUUUGGUUAGUCGCUCUUAGUACAAAAUGAAAAUUCAAAGCACACUGCUUGUGAGUUGUUUUCCCUCUGUUCCUUCACCUGAAAACAGAGGUUGGAAUCUGAGACUCUGCACUAGAAUUUCCAUGACGUCCAGCCAAAUUGGACAAGCGUCGUUUCCUCAAAAAGCAAACAAUGAAUCCAUGUCCCAUCCUCAGUUCGGACAACUUUGAAGUCUAGCCGGCGCACCUCGAUCUCCACAAGUUCACUGUGAACGCAGUGUUUCAUUGAAACUUGGCAAGGAGAGACAGAUUUUCAGCACGGCAAGUGUUGUCUUCUGCGAAGGAAACCGAAAAAAAUCCUCUGAACAGAAGAAGGGACUUACCAAGGAUCAGGCGACUGAGUAAUAAACCUGCAUGUUUAUUCUGUGUUGAUGGUUUGUUUUUUUAUACUAGAGAAUUUAGGAACAGUGGAUUUGAAUGUCCA
Brachypodium distachyon (stiff brome) is the source of this 1354-nucleotide long non-coding RNA. RefSeq lists it as uncharacterized. The record is from RefSeq and is a predicted model, not a curated record. Lineage: Eukaryota; Viridiplantae; Streptophyta; Magnoliopsida; Poales; Poaceae. The transcript has 2 exons.